GAUGAACGCUGGCGGCGUGCCUAAUACAUGCAAGUCGAGCGAACGGAUGAGAAGCUUGCUUCUCUGAUGUUAGCGGCGGACGGGUGAGUAACACGUGGAUAACCUACCUAUAAGACUGGGAUAACUUCGGGAAACCGGAGCUAAUACCGGAUAAUAUUUUGAACCGCAUGGUUCAAAAGUGAAAGACGGUCUUGCUGUCACUUAUAGAUGGAUCCGCGCUGCAUUAGCUAGUUGGUAAGGUAACGGCUUACCAAGGCAACGAUGCAUAGCCGACCUGAGAGGGUGAUCGGCCACACUGGAACUGAGAAACGGUCCAGACUCCUACGGGAGGCAGCAGUAGGGAAUCUUCCGCAAUGGGCGAAAGCCUGACGGAGCAACGCCGCGUGAGUGAUGAAGGUCUUCGGAUCGUAAAACUCUGUUAUUAGGGAAGAACAUAUGUGUAAGUAACUGUGCACAUCUUGACGGUACCUAAUCAGAAAGCCACGGCUAACUACGUG
RNAcentral lists this ribosomal RNA (497 nucleotides) under uncultured bacterium. Its description in RNAcentral is "partial 16S ribosomal RNA". It matches the Rfam family "Bacterial small subunit ribosomal RNA", at positions 28 to 507 of the family's 1533-position model. The record is from RNAcentral.